Molecule: small nuclear RNA, 112 nt
Organism: Pteronotus mesoamericanus
Lineage: Eukaryota; Metazoa; Chordata; Mammalia; Chiroptera; Mormoopidae
Source: RefSeq, a predicted model, not a curated record
GUGCUCACUUUGGCAGCACACGUACUAAAACCAGAAGGAUACAGAGAAGAUUAAUGAGCACGGCUUCCAGAGCAAGGAUAACUUGUAAAUUCGGGAAGUGUUCCAUAUUUUU